UCGAAAUCGGUAGACGCUACGGACUUAAAAUCCGUCGACUUUAUAAGUCGUGAGGGUUCAAGUCCCUCU
Molecule: transfer RNA, 69 nt
Filed under: Tricholaena monachne
Lineage: Eukaryota; Viridiplantae; Streptophyta; Magnoliopsida; Poales; Poaceae
Description: partial tRNA-Leu
Source: RNAcentral